This 253-nucleotide ribosomal RNA is filed under the name uncultured bacterium. Its description in RNAcentral is "partial 16S ribosomal RNA". It matches the Rfam family "Bacterial small subunit ribosomal RNA", at positions 524 to 776 of the family's 1533-position model. The record is from RNAcentral.
UACGUAGGGAGCAAGCGUUGUUCGGAUUUACUGGGCGUAAAGGGCGCGUAGGCGGCGCGGUAAGUCACUUGUGAAAUCUCUGAGCUUAACUCAGAACGGCCAAGUGAUACUGCAGUGCUAGAGUGCAGAAAGGGCAAUCGGAAUUCUUGGUGUAGCGGUGAAAUGCGUAGAUAUCGAGAGGAACACCUGCGGCGAAGGCGGGUUGCUGGGCUGACACUGACGCUGAUGUGCGAAAGCUAGGGGAGCGAACGGG